Long non-coding RNA from Chenopodium quinoa (quinoa), 1586 nucleotides. RefSeq lists it as uncharacterized. The record is from RefSeq and is a predicted model, not a curated record. NCBI's taxonomy places the organism in Eukaryota, Viridiplantae, Streptophyta, Magnoliopsida, Caryophyllales, Amaranthaceae. The transcript has 6 exons.
UUUUUUUUAACCCUCCAAAAAGUCUAUUACCAAUUCUAUCUUCUGCCUUUGUCUCUCCUGUGGUCUCUUCAUCUCUCCUCUCUCAUACGGUCAUACCUCCAUUUUCUCUUUCCUUUCUACUUUUAACAUUUCUCUGGGCAAAGCUCACACCUAAAUAAUGGAGCUUACCUCUUUUGCUGCUAGAAUUACGUGACUUCUCUAAUGGAAGCGGCUUCUGACCUCGGUUCUUCCGCAGUUGAUCAUAGUUUUCUAGCGAACUCUUUCUCUCUCCUCAGUAAUCGAGCUUAGCUUUCUGUUUCUCCCUCCUGCAAGAUGACGGGACUUCUUUAAUGGAAGCAAGAGGGUUUUAAUUCUCCUCCCUUUUUUCUAUGAUUUGGAUUUUUUUUUUUUUUUUUUGGUAUAGGGCUUUAAAAUUCUUUUGGUUUUUCUGGUGUUUUUUUUUUGUUCUAUAAUAUAGUUAGGGUUUGGGUGUUUUAUUUUCAGUUUGAUCUAGGAUUUCUGAUUAUUUUUAUAGAUUACCUAAUUGAUUAGUUUUGUUUCUAAAUUUUUAUUGAUUUAGGGUUUCUGAUGAGUUUUGCUUUUGGUUUGUUGCUUAUCAGGAGCAGUUCGGCCUAAUUCAUGUGAUGAAAUUCGGAAUAGGCAUGCGAGCAAAUAGAUGGAGUUUGGUUGAAUCCGGAAUAUGACACCAAAAUGAUUAUCUAAAUCCUUUCCAUGCUUAUGAUGAAGGAAACCUUUCAUGGCUGGCCGCAGCAGAAGCAGAGCCUGCCACCAUGUCAAUUACUAGAAGAGCUAUACUUGAUGCUGCUUCCCUGGAUGAAACAAUUGAAAUAGUACGUGGGAAUUGGCUUCGAGUAAUUGAGCAACAUCAUCUAGAAUGCUCUGGUAAUUCUGUAGUUGCGGACAUCUUAGACUUAGGAUGUUUUGUAGGUUGGAGCACAAGAUUUCUGGCUAACAAAUUUCCUUCUGCUAAUGUUACUGGGUUGGACUUGUCACCUUAUUUUUUUUUGUUGCUCAAUCAAAGAGAAAAAUGGAUCAUCAAGUGGAAAAUGCAUAAAGUGGGUUCACGCAAAUGGUGAAGAUACAGGUUUGCUGGCCAAGUCAUUUGACAUUGUCUCAAUUGCUUAUGUUUAUACAGUGAAGAACUUUCAGUUUGCUUUGACAGUUGAACUCGAAAAUGCAAAGAUAGUGGAGAAAUUGGCAUGGGCUCUGAACCACUGAAAUGCUGACUUGCCUGCUAUUCCGCCAACCAUUGCGGAGGGGAUUGAAACUAACCCAUUUAUUUGUGUUGCACAUUAUUCCUCUUCAGUUUAGGAGUUAUUUAUGUUAUCAUAAAAAGUGUUUAAGUUGUCAGAUUUCUCUUUAGAAACCUUUCUUUUUUGGAUAUUUGGUCGAAUGUGAAGUGCUCCAAGUCUCUGUCAGUAUUCUUAGACACAUGAUAUGCAGGCUUCAUUCUUUUUAUCAAAAGCCCCUUGUCCGAACUUGUAUUUCAUUAUGGAAUAAACUUGGCUGCCCAUAUGUAACCUCCCCAUUUUAAAGAACUUGGCCAUAAGUGUACAAACAAGAAUCACAUCUCACAUUGACAUGAA